UGUAGGAGCCGGCUUGCUGGCGAUGGUGUGUCAGCUAAAUGGAUGUCGACUGACACACCACCGCCAGCAAGCCGGCUCCCACA
This 83-nucleotide unclassified non-coding RNA is filed under the name Pseudomonas migulae. The record is from RNAcentral. Lineage: Bacteria; Pseudomonadati; Pseudomonadota; Gammaproteobacteria; Pseudomonadales; Pseudomonadaceae.